This 467-nucleotide ribosomal RNA is filed under the name uncultured bacterium. RNAcentral describes it as "partial 16S ribosomal RNA". It matches the Rfam family "Bacterial small subunit ribosomal RNA", at positions 28 to 506 of the family's 1533-position model. The record is from RNAcentral.
GACGAACGCUGGCGGCGUGCUUAACACAUGCAAGUCGAACGGAAAGGCCCUGCUUUUGUGGGGUGCUCGAGUGGCGAACGGGUGAGUAACACGUGAGUAACCUGCCCUUGACUUUGGGAUAACUUCAGGAAACUGGGGCUAAUACCGGGUAGGAGCUCCUGCUGCAUGGUGGGGGUUGGAAAGUUUCGGCGGUUGGGGAUGGACUCGCGGCUUAUCAGCUUGUUGGUGGGGUAGUGGCUUACCAAGGCUUUGACGGGUAGCCGGCCUGAGAGGGUGACCGGCCACAUUGGGACUGAGAUACGGCCCAGACUCCUACGGGAGGCAGCAGUGGGGAAUAUUGCACAAUGGGCGGAAGCCUGAUGCAGCAACGCCGCGUGCGGGAUGACGGCCUUCGGGUUGUAAACCGCUUUCGCCUGUGACGAAGCGUGAGUGACGGGAAUGGGUAAAGAAGCACCGGCGAACUACGU